CAAACCGGAGGAAGGUGGGGACGACGUCAAGUCAUCAUGGCCCUUAUGUCCUGGGCUACACACGUGCUACAAUGGCCGGUACAGAGCGCAGCGAGGCCGCGAGGCGGAGCGAAUCGCUUAAAGCCGGUCCCAGUACGGAUUGGAGUCUGCAACCCGACUCCAUGAAGUUGGAAUCGCUAGUAAUCGCGCAUCAGCCAUGGCGCGGUGAAUACGUUCCCGGGCCUU
This 225-nucleotide ribosomal RNA is filed under the name uncultured Spirochaeta sp. RNAcentral's name for it is "partial 16S ribosomal RNA". It matches the Rfam family "Bacterial small subunit ribosomal RNA", at positions 1159 to 1382 of the family's 1533-position model. The record is from RNAcentral. Lineage: Bacteria; Pseudomonadati; Spirochaetota; Spirochaetia; Spirochaetales; Spirochaetaceae.